Non-coding RNA from Oryctolagus cuniculus (rabbit), 1024 nucleotides. The record is from RefSeq and is a predicted model, not a curated record. Lineage: Eukaryota; Metazoa; Chordata; Mammalia; Lagomorpha; Leporidae.
GGCGGGGACUGAGCCCUAGGCCGGCGACGAGAAACUUCUGGGGGCGGGAGGGGGAGGGGGAGGAAAGAGGCUCCCCCGCCCCCCUCGUCACCGCCGCCCCCCGCCCGCAGCCGGGGAGCGAGGUGGGGGGCGGGGAGAGGUGGGCAGCCGGACCCGGCUGGUGGGGAAGGCAGUCUAAGCUGCGUUGUGACUGGGAAAACAGUUGAGGCUGGGAUCCUGCGAGCAUGAAGAACAUCAGAAGAGGAAGCUGCUGUUCCAGUGUCUUCCUUCCCGCCUAAGGAUGCAGAUAGGAGACACUGAUGAGCGGAGAUGGCGCAAAUGGUGUCUCAUCAUGGGUGAGCGUGGAGGGAGACAUCCUGGCAGAGACUGCAUUAGUUUUCAAAAGAGCUUUGUUGGGGCUGGCGCUGUGGCAUAGUGGGUAAAGCCUGCAAUGCCGACAUCCCAUAUGGGCACGAGUUCUAGUCCUGGCUGCUGCACCUCCAAUCCAGCUCUCUGCUGUGGCCUGGGAAAGCAGUAGAAGAUGGCCUGAGUCCUUGGGCCCCUGCACCUGCGUGGAAGACCCAGAAGAAGCUCCUGGCUCCUGGCUUCGGAUAUGUGCAGCUCUGGCGGUUGCGGCCAACUGGGGAGUGAAUCAUUGGAUGGACGACCUCUCUCUCUCUCUCUCUGCCUCUCUUUCUCUUUGUGUGUAACUCUGACUUUCAAAUAAAUAAUUAAAAAAUAAAUCUUUUUAAGCCGGCGCCGUGGCUCAAUAGGCUAAUCCUCCACCUUGCGGCGCCGGCACACCGGGUUCUAGUCCCGGUUGGGGCGCCGGAUUCUGUCCCGGUUGCCCCUCUUCCAGGCCAGCUCUCUGCUAUGGCCAGGGAGUGCAGUGGAGGAUGGCCCAGGUGCUUGGGCCCUGCACCCCAUGGGAGACCAGGAAAAGCACCUGGCUCCUGGCUCCUGCCAGGAUCAGCGCGGUGCGCCGGCUGCAGCGGCGGCCAUUGGAGGGUGAACCAGCGGCAAAGGAAGACCUUUCUCUCUCUGU